UACGUAGGGUGCAAGCGUUGUUCGGAAUUACUGGGCGUAAAGGGCGCGUAGGCGGGUUUGCAAGUCGUCUGUGAAAUCCCCGGGCUUAACCUGGGAAUGGCAGGCGAAACUGCAGAUCUUGAGCGCUUGAGAGGUUGGCAGAAUUGCAGGUGUAGAAGUGAAAUUCGUAGAUAUCUGCAAGAACACCGGAGGCGAAGGCGGCUGACUGGCAAGACACUGACGCUAAGGCGCGAAAGCGUGGGGAUCAAACAGG
Molecule: ribosomal RNA, 253 nt
Filed under: uncultured bacterium
Lineage: Bacteria
Description: partial 16S ribosomal RNA
Rfam family: Bacterial small subunit ribosomal RNA
Source: RNAcentral